This 478-nucleotide ribosomal RNA is filed under the name uncultured bacterium. Its description in RNAcentral is "partial 16S ribosomal RNA". It matches the Rfam family "Bacterial small subunit ribosomal RNA", at positions 28 to 507 of the family's 1533-position model. The record is from RNAcentral.
GAUGAACGCUGGCGGCGUGCUUAACACAUGCAAGUCGAACGAGAAGUGAAGACGGAAACCUUCGGGCGGAAGGCUUUAUUUCGAGUGGCGGACGGGUGAGUAACGCGUGGGUAACCUGCCUCAUACAGGGGGAUAACAGUUGGAAACGACUGUUAAUACCGCAUAAGACCACAGCACCGCAUGGUGCGGGGGUAAAAACUCCGGUGGUAUGAGAGGGACCGGCGUUCGAUUAGCCAGUUGGCGGGGUAACGGCCCACCAAAGCGACGAUCGAUAGCCGAUCUGAGAGGAUGACCGGCCACAUUGGGACUGAGACACGGCCCAAACUCCUACGGGAGGCAGCAGUGGGGAAUAUUGCACAGUGGGGGAAACCCUGAUGCAGCGACGCCGCGUGAGUGAAGAAGUAUUUCGGUAUGUAAAGCUCUAUCAGCAGGGAAGAAAAUGACGGUACCUGAGGAAGAAGCCCCGGCUAACUACGUG